Molecule: ribosomal RNA, 377 nt
Filed under: uncultured organism
Description: partial 16S ribosomal RNA
Rfam family: Bacterial small subunit ribosomal RNA
Source: RNAcentral
GGAGGGAGCGAGCGUUGUUCGGAAUCACUGGGCGUAAAGGGCGCGUAGGCGGCCGAGUAAGUCGUGUGUGAAACGACCGGGGCUCAACUCCGUGUACUGCAUGCGAUACUGCUCGGCUAGAGAAAGGUAGAGGCGAGCGGAAUUCCCGGUGUAGCGGUGGAAUGCGUAGAUAUCGGGAAGAACACCUGUGGCGAAGGCGGCUCGCUGGGCCUUUUCUGACGCUGAAGUGCGAAAGCGUGGGGAGCAAACAGGAUUAGAUACCCUGGUAGUCCACGCCGUAAACGAUGGGCACUAGGCGUUGGGAGGAUUGACCCUCCUCAGUGCCGUAGCUAACGCGUUAAGUGCCCCCCGCCUGGGGAGUACCGGCCGCAAGGCUG